This 443-nucleotide ribosomal RNA is filed under the name Duganella zoogloeoides. Its description in RNAcentral is "bacterial SSU rRNA". It matches the Rfam family "Bacterial small subunit ribosomal RNA", at positions 64 to 504 of the family's 1533-position model. Lineage: Bacteria; Pseudomonadati; Pseudomonadota; Betaproteobacteria; Burkholderiales; Oxalobacteraceae. The record is from RNAcentral.
GAACGGCAGCGCGGGGCAACCUGGCGGCGAGUGGCGAACGGGUGAGUAAUAUAUCGGAACGUACCCUGGAGUGGGGGAUAACGUAGCGAAAGUUACGCUAAUACCGCAUACGAUCUAAGGAUGAAAGUGGGGGAUCGCAAGACCUCAUGCUCCUGGAGCGGCCGAUAUCUGAUUAGCUAGUUGGUGGGGUAAAGGCCUACCAAGGCAUCGAUCAGUAGCUGGUCUGAGAGGACGACCAGCCACACUGGAACUGAGACACGGUCCAGACUCCUACGGGAGGCAGCAGUGGGGAAUUUUGGACAAUGGGCGCAAGCCUGAUCCAGCAAUGCCGCGUGAGUGAAGAAGGCCUUCGGGUUGUAAAGCUCUUUUGUCAGGGAAGAAACGGUGGGGGCUAAUAUCCCUUGCUAAUGACGGUACCUGAAGAAUAAGCACCGGCUAACUAC